Molecule: non-coding RNA, 68 nt
Organism: Aquamicrobium defluvii
Lineage: Bacteria; Pseudomonadati; Pseudomonadota; Alphaproteobacteria; Hyphomicrobiales; Phyllobacteriaceae
Source: Rfam
UGUCAAGAGUCAGAGGCGUCGUUUUGGCGGGCAGGUUUCUUUUGCCUGAUUGAAGGUGGAAGGAAAUG